This 495-nucleotide ribosomal RNA is filed under the name uncultured bacterium. Its description in RNAcentral is "partial 16S ribosomal RNA". It matches the Rfam family "Bacterial small subunit ribosomal RNA", at positions 29 to 507 of the family's 1533-position model. The record is from RNAcentral.
AUGAACGCUGGCGGCGUGCCUAAUACAUGCAAGUCGAGCGAACAGACGAGGAGCUUGCUCCUCUGACGUUAGCGGCGGACGGGUGAGUAACACGUGGAUAACCUACCUAUAAGACUGGAUAAAUUCGGGAAACCCGAGCUAAUUCCGGAAAAUUUAUUGAAACGCAUGGUUCAAUAGUGAAAGACGGUUUUGCUGUCACUUAUAGAUGGAUCCGCGCCGCAUUAGCUAGUUGGUAAGGUAACGGCUUACCAAGGCAACGAUGCGUAGCCGACCUGAGAGGGUGAUCGGCCACACUGGAACUGAGACACGGUCCAGACUCCUACGGGAGGCAGCAGUAGGGAAUCUUCCGCAAUGGGCGAAAGCCUGACGGAGCAACGCCGCGUGAGUGAUGAAGGUCUUCGGAUCGUAAAACUCUGUUAUUAGGGAAGAACAAAUGUGUAAGUAACUAUGCACGUCUUGACGGUACCUAAUCAGAAAGCCACGGCUAACUACGUG